UACGGAGGGUGCAAGCGUUAAUCGGAAUUACUGGGCGUAAAGCGCGCGUAGGCGGCUUGUUAAGCCAGAUGUGAAAGCCCUGGGCUCAACCUAGGAAUUGCAUUUGGAGCUGACUCGCUAGAGUACAGAAGAGGGUGGUGGAAUUUCCUGUGUAGCGGUGAAAUGCGUAGAUAUAGGAAGGAACAUCAGUGGCGAAGGCGGCCACCUGGUCUGAUACUGACGCUGAGGUGCGAAAGCGUGGGGAGCAAACAGG
Molecule: ribosomal RNA, 253 nt
Filed under: uncultured bacterium
Lineage: Bacteria
Description: partial 16S ribosomal RNA
Rfam family: Bacterial small subunit ribosomal RNA
Source: RNAcentral